AUUGAACGCUGGCGGCAUGCCUUACACAUGCAAGUCGAACGGCAGCACGGGUGCUUGCACCUGGUGGCGAGUGGCGAACGGGUGAGUAAUAUAUCGGAACGUGCCCAGUCGUGGGGGAUAACGUAGUGAAAAUUACGCUAAUACCGCAUACGAUCUAUGGAUGAAAGCGGGGGACCUUUGGGCCUCGCUCGAUUGGAGCGGCCGAUAUCAGAUUAGGUAGUUGGUGGGGUAGAGGCUCACCAAGCCAACGAUCUGUAGCUGGUCUGAGAGGACGACCAGCCACACUGGGACUGAGACACGGCCCAGACUCCUACGGGAGGCAGCAGUGGGGAAUUUUGGACAAUGGACGCAAGUCUGAUCCAGCCAUUCCGCGUGCAGGACGAAGGCCUUCGGGUUGUAAACUGCCUUUGUACAGAACGAAAAGGUUUCUACUAAUACUAGGAGCUCAUGACGGUACUGUAAGAAUAAGCACCGGCUAACUACGUGCCAGCCGCCGCGGUAA
This 502-nucleotide ribosomal RNA is filed under the name uncultured bacterium. RNAcentral describes it as "partial 16S ribosomal RNA". It matches the Rfam family "Bacterial small subunit ribosomal RNA", at positions 30 to 523 of the family's 1533-position model. The record is from RNAcentral.